GUCGCAAGACCAAAGAGGGGGACCUUCGGGCCUCUUGCCAUCGGAUGUGCCCAGAUGGGAUUAGCUAGUAGGUGGGGUAACGGCUCACCUAGGCGACGAUCCCUAGCUGGUCUGAGAGGAUGACCAGCCACACUGGAACUGAGACACGGUCCAGACUCCUACGGGAGGCAGCAGUGGGGAAUAUUGCACAAUGGGCGCAAGCCUGAUGCAGCCAUGCCGCGUGUAUGAAGAAGGCCUUCGGGUUGUAAAGUACUUUCAGCGGGGAGGAAGGCGAUAAGGUUAAUAACCUUGUCGAUUGACGUUACCCGCAGAAGAAGCACCGGCUAACUCCGUGCCAGCAGCCGCGGUAAUACGGAGGGUGCAAGCGUUAAUCGGAAUUACUGGGCGUAAAGCGCACGCAGGCGGUCUGUCAAGUCGGAUGUGAAAUCCCCGGGCUCAACCUGGGAACUGCAUUCGAAACUGGCAGGCUAGAGUCUUGUAGAGGGGGGUAGAAUUCCAGGUGUAGCGGUGAAAUGCGUAGAGAUCUGGAGGAAUACCGGUGGCGAAGGCGGCCCCCUGNACAAAGACUGACGCUCAGGUG
RNAcentral lists this ribosomal RNA (580 nucleotides) under Enterobacter sp. RNAcentral's name for it is "bacterial SSU rRNA". It matches the Rfam family "Bacterial small subunit ribosomal RNA", at positions 173 to 753 of the family's 1533-position model. The record is from RNAcentral. Lineage: Bacteria; Pseudomonadati; Pseudomonadota; Gammaproteobacteria; Enterobacterales; Enterobacteriaceae.